This 31-nucleotide non-coding RNA is filed under the name Mus musculus (house mouse). The record is from RNAcentral. Lineage: Eukaryota; Metazoa; Chordata; Mammalia; Rodentia; Muridae.
UAUUGAGUAUGUAGAACUCAAAGUUCUCCUG